Non-coding RNA from Carassius carassius (crucian carp), 493 nucleotides. The record is from the annotation of a RefSeq genome assembly. Lineage: Eukaryota; Metazoa; Chordata; Actinopteri; Cypriniformes; Cyprinidae.
AGGGCACCCUAUGCAAACCUACUUCUAUUUGUCUUCCUCAAAAGUCUCCAAGCUAUUCAUCUCCAGACACAAAACUUGUUUGUGACGUCGAUGCAUCAACUUGCUCUUUUCAUAACAUGACAAUGGAUAUUGUGUCUAAACUGGGUUUUAUCUUCAUGUUUGCUCUCACAGAAUUCUGUUGGUGUCAAACACUGACUGAGUCUGAGUCAGUGGUCAUUAAACCUGGAGGAUCUCACAGACUCAUCUGUACAUUCUCUGGAUUUAGUAGUAACCCAGACUUAGCUUGGAUCAGACAGACUGCAGGAGGAGGUCUGGAGUGGCUGGCAUACAUCUCUGGUGGUAGUAGUUAUAUAUACUACUCUCAGUCUGUUCAGGGACGCUUCACCAUCUCCAGAGACAACAGCAAGAAACAGAUGUAUCUGCAGAUGAAUAAUAUGAAGAAUGAAGACACUGCUGUAUAUUAUUGUGCAAGAGAGACACAGUGAUGAAUACA